CUACGGGUGGCAGCAGUGGGGAAUAUUGCACAAUGGAGGAAACUCUGAUGCAGCAACGCCGCGUGGAGGAUGACACUUUUCGGAGCGUAAACUCCUUUUAUAUAGGAAGAAGAUGACGGUACUAUAUGAAUAAGCGCCGGCUAACUCCGUGCCAGCAGCCGCGGUAAUACGGAGGGCGCAAGCGUUACUCGGAAUCACUGGGCGUAAAGAGCGUGUAGGCGGAUUAAAAAGUCAGAAGUGAAAUCCUAUAGCUUAACUAUAGAACUGCUUCUGAAAUUCUUAAUCUAGAAUAUGGGAGAGGUAGAUGGAAUUUCUGGUGUAGGGGUAACAUCCGUAGAGAUCAGAAGGAAUACCGAUUGCGAAGGCGAUCUACUAGAACAUUAUUGACGCUGAGACGCGAAAGCGUGGGGAGCAAACAGGAUUAGAUACCCCCGUAGUC
RNAcentral lists this ribosomal RNA (439 nucleotides) under uncultured bacterium. RNAcentral's name for it is "partial 16S ribosomal RNA". It matches the Rfam family "Bacterial small subunit ribosomal RNA", at positions 339 to 795 of the family's 1533-position model. The record is from RNAcentral.